RNAcentral lists this ribosomal RNA (433 nucleotides) under uncultured bacterium. RNAcentral describes it as "partial 16S ribosomal RNA". It matches the Rfam family "Bacterial small subunit ribosomal RNA", at positions 29 to 507 of the family's 1533-position model. The record is from RNAcentral.
AACGAACGCUGGCGGCAGGCCUAACACAUGCAAGUCGAGCGAGGACUUCGGUUCUAGCGGCGGACGGGUGAGUAACGCGUGGGAAUGUGCCCUUCUCUACGGAAUAGCCCUGGGAAACUGGGAGUAAUACCGUAUACGCCCUUUUGGGGAAAGAUUUAUCGGAGAAGGAUCAGCCCGCGUUGGAUUAGGUAGUUGGUGGGGUAAUGGCCUACCAAGCCGACGAUCCAUAGCUGGUUUGAGAGGAUGAUCAGCCACACUGGGACUGAGACACGGCCCAGACUCCUACGGGAGGCAGCAGUGGGGAAUCUUAGACAAUGGGGGCAACACUGAGCGAGCCAUGCCGCGUGAGUGAUGAAGGCCUUAGGGUUGUAAAGCUCUUUCAGCUGGGAAGAUAAUGACGGUACCAGCAGAAGAAGCCCCGGCUAACUCCGUG